This 101-nucleotide ribosomal RNA is filed under the name uncultured bacterium. Its description in RNAcentral is "partial 16S ribosomal RNA". It matches the Rfam family "Bacterial small subunit ribosomal RNA", at positions 392 to 508 of the family's 1533-position model. The record is from RNAcentral.
CGACGCCGCGUGAGGGAUGAAGGCCUUCGGGUCGUAAACCUCUUUUAUGGGGGAAGAAGUUCUGACGGUACCCCAUGAAUAAGCCACGGCUAACUACGUGC